GUCUGCAACCCGACUACAUGAAGCUGGAAUCGCUAGUAAUCGCAAAUCAGAAUGUUGCGGUGAAUACGUUCCCGGGUCUUGUACACACCGCCCGUCACACCAUGGGAGUCGGAUAUGCCCGAAGCCAGUGACCUAACCGCAAGGAAGGAGCUGUCGAAGGUGGAGCCGAUAACUGGGGUGAAGUCGUAACAAGGUACC
This 198-nucleotide ribosomal RNA is filed under the name uncultured bacterium. Its description in RNAcentral is "partial 16S ribosomal RNA". It matches the Rfam family "Bacterial small subunit ribosomal RNA", at positions 1303 to 1500 of the family's 1533-position model. The record is from RNAcentral.